AUUGUUGGCUACAUUCUGAAAAGAUGCUUGAAAACAAGAAAUGCAGGAUUUACACAAGCUCCAGUCUGGAUCCAGAUCACCUGAGAAGAGACAAUGCUGACCUUCAGAGGACCCCAGAUGAUGCUAACCCAGAGACAACAUACAGAACUACCACUUUUUGUGCCAUCAACAUAAAAGUCCCGCCUCGAACACAUCAGCCAAG
Molecule: long non-coding RNA, 202 nt
Organism: Carassius auratus (goldfish)
Lineage: Eukaryota; Metazoa; Chordata; Actinopteri; Cypriniformes; Cyprinidae
Exons: 3
Source: RefSeq, a predicted model, not a curated record